UGUUCCCGAGCAGUAGCCAUACAUAUGACAGCUUAACCUUCUUCAUUAGAAACAUUGAACAUUGAACAUUGUCUUCAUCGUCACAAGGUACUGGGUGUGGCUUAUAACCAGAGGCAGCACUGGCAGUGGCAAAAAGAUCUGUGUCUGUGGCUACUGCUGUCCGUGAGUACUUGCUGUCACUGCCCAGUGCCCCUUCGACUCUGUCAAGGGUGGAAUACAUGGAAGGUUGACGUUCAUGGUAGGACUGUCACAACAGUGGUCAGCAGUAUUCCUCAGUGUCAUGUCCUGUCCAGAUCUACAUUUUUUUUUGCAAUAAUUGUUGUAAUUAUUGUUGUAUUUGUGGUCUUGUUUUUUAGUCCU
This is a long non-coding RNA of Halichondria panicea, 360 nucleotides long. RefSeq lists it as uncharacterized. NCBI's taxonomy places the organism in Eukaryota, Metazoa, Porifera, Demospongiae, Suberitida, Halichondriidae. The transcript has 3 exons. The record is from RefSeq and is a predicted model, not a curated record.